Zalophus californianus (California sea lion) is the source of this 341-nucleotide long non-coding RNA. RefSeq lists it as uncharacterized. The transcript is spliced from 3 exons. Lineage: Eukaryota; Metazoa; Chordata; Mammalia; Carnivora; Otariidae. The record is from RefSeq and is a predicted model, not a curated record.
GGGGAGACUCCCUGCAACAACCCGAACAGAGGUUUAUGUGGGACGAUGUCAGAAGGAGAAGACCUGAGGCAUAAAUUUGGAGCCUCCUGAAAGGGACUUGAAACUGGGAUGAGAUUCAAUUCCUACAGGUUUCGGAUCCCAUUUGGGAUACCAAUUUAUAUUUGAUUGUCAUGUCUCCUGAGGCUCCUCUUGGUGGUGACAGUGUCCUAGACUUUCCUUGAUUUUGAUGACCUGGACAGUUUUGAGGAGUACUGCUGUACACUUUGGAAGAGAGUCACUAUGCGUAGUCCACACGUAAGGAAAGGAAAACUAAUCUCUACCUCCUUGAGGGACAAGUAUCU